AUGCGACUACUUCCUCCCUCCUCGCCUCGACGACGAGGAGGACCUCUCCGACCUGUUCACCUUGGCCCUCUUUGCCGGCGGCGGGGUCGCCGGAGCAGCGCCCCGUUUCUGUGGCCGCCCGACGCUUUUCUUCGUCGCGGCAGCCUUGCCUCCUGCCUUGGAGCCACCGCGGCCGGUGUUCUUCCUGCCUGGCCCCUUCCUGGCCUUGGGCUGCUCCUCCUCCUCCUCCUCCGGCGCCGGCGCCGACCGCUUCCGUUUCGUGAGCGGCGACCCUCUCUUCUUCGGGGGCGACGACUUGCCCUGGUUCAGCCGCUUCAGGAAGUCCACGGCGAUCCGCUUCUUGGGCAGCCCACCGGCGGCCGCCCCGUCGGAGUCCCCGUUCUCCUUCUUCUCAGCCGCCGCCGCAGCCGCUUCCUCCGCAGCUGCCGCCGCCUUCUUGCGGCUCAGAGCGGAGUUCUUGCCGGGGCCGCGGGUCUUCUUCGUCCCCGUCCCCCACGCCUUGCCCUUGGCCGCCGCGGCCAGGGCAGCCUUCUUCUCGCCGUCGCUCUCCGCCUCCUCCUCAACGUCCCGCUUCUCCACGGCCUCCUCCUUCCUCGCGACGGCCGCCGCGGCGGCAGCCUUGGCGAUGGAGCUCCUCUUGCGGCAGAAGAUGAGCGGCUUGGCAGCCUUCUGGAUCAGCGGCCCGACGAUGUCGGGCUCGGCCUUCCGCGAGUCGAGCCCCGCCGCCGGCGCCGGCGGAGGAUUAGCGCCGCUCGGCGGCUCCCGCUUGGCCGGGGGCUCGCGGAGCGAGGCGGAGACCUGCGCGGAGACGAGGUGGAGGGCGUUGAGCGCGGCGGCGGCGUGGUCGGGCGCGUGGCGCGGGAGGUAGACGGCGGCGUUGGCGCAGAGCAGCAGCAGGUCGCGGUAGAGCUCGGCGCUGCUGGCGUAGCCCGCCGCGCCGUCCAGCUUCCGGCGCAUGGCCUCCAGGUCCACGUGCCGCCUGAUCGUGCCCCGGUACGACUCGCUCUCCUGCACAGCAGACCAAACCAAAGCGGACCCACCAGCACGUGA
RNAcentral lists this ribosomal RNA (1050 nucleotides) under Triticum aestivum (bread wheat). RNAcentral describes it as "partial small subunit ribosomal RNA". The record is from RNAcentral. Lineage: Eukaryota; Viridiplantae; Streptophyta; Magnoliopsida; Poales; Poaceae.